Non-coding RNA from Equus caballus (horse), 115 nucleotides. The record is from Rfam. NCBI's taxonomy places the organism in Eukaryota, Metazoa, Chordata, Mammalia, Perissodactyla, Equidae.
GUCUAUGGCCAUACCACCCUGAAUGGGCCCAAUCUCGUCUGAUCUCAGAAGCUAAGCAGGGUUGGGCCUGGUUAGUACUUGCAUUGGAGAAAGAGCGGUCCACAAGUCAUUGAUU